AAUAGAUACCCAGGUAGUCCACGCCGUAAACGAUGGAUACUAGCUGUUCGGAGCAAUCUGAGUGGCUAAGCGAAAGUGAUAAGUAUCCCACCUGGGGAGUACGUUCGCAAGAAUGAAACUCAAAGGAAUUGACGGGGGCCCGCACAAGCGGUGGAGCAUGUGGUUUAAUUCGAUGAUACGCGAGGAACCUUACCAAGGCUUAAAUGUAGAUUGACCGGUUUGGAAACAGAUCUUUCGCAAGACAAUUUACAAGGUGCUGCAUGGUUGUCGUCAGCUCGUGCCGUGAGGUGUCAGGUUAAGUCCUAUAACGAGCGCAACCCCUGUCGUUAGUUGCCAGCGAGUGAUGUCGGGAACUCUAACGAGACUGCCAGUGUAAACUGUGAGGAAGGUGGGGAUGACGUCAAAUCAUCACGGCCCUUACGCCUUGGGCUACACACGUGCUACAAUGGCCGGUACAGAGAGCAGCCACUGGGCGACCAGGAGCGAAUCUAUAAAACCGGUCACAGUUCGGAUCGGAGU
This 519-nucleotide ribosomal RNA is filed under the name uncultured bacterium. RNAcentral describes it as "bacterial SSU rRNA". It matches the Rfam family "Bacterial small subunit ribosomal RNA", at positions 777 to 1304 of the family's 1533-position model. The record is from RNAcentral.